GCCCGGGUGGCGGAAUGGCAGACGCCGGGCACUCAAAAUGCCCUGCCCCUUAAGGGCGUGCGGGUUCGAGUCCCGCCCCGGGCA
This 84-nucleotide transfer RNA is filed under the name Thermoleophilaceae bacterium. RNAcentral's name for it is "tRNA-Leu". It matches the Rfam family "tRNA". From Rfam's summary of the family: Transfer RNA (tRNA) molecules are approximately 80 nucleotides in length. Their secondary structure includes four short double-helical elements and three loops (D, anti-codon, and T loops). Further hydrogen bonds mediate the characteristic L-shaped molecular structure. tRNAs have two regions of fundamental functional importance: the anti-codon, which is responsible for specific mRNA codon recognition, and the 3' end, to which the tRNAs corresponding amino acid is attached (by aminoacyl-tRNA synthetases). tRNAs cope with the degeneracy of the genetic code in two manners: having more than one tRNA (with a specific anti-codon) for a particular amino acid; and 'wobble' base-pairing, i.e. permitting non-standard base-pairing at the 3rd anti-codon position. Lineage: Bacteria; Bacillati; Actinomycetota; Thermoleophilia; Thermoleophilales; Thermoleophilaceae. The record is from RNAcentral.